UGGAAUUGUACGCUAGCAUUGCUGUUCUA
Molecule: small RNA, 29 nt
Filed under: Bombyx mori (domestic silkworm)
Lineage: Eukaryota; Metazoa; Arthropoda; Insecta; Lepidoptera; Bombycidae
Description: ovarian small RNA-34516
Source: RNAcentral